Molecule: long non-coding RNA, 3340 nt
Organism: Sapajus apella (tufted capuchin)
Lineage: Eukaryota; Metazoa; Chordata; Mammalia; Primates; Cebidae
Exons: 2
Source: RefSeq, a predicted model, not a curated record
AAUAAAUGGUGUUGGGAAAACCAGCUAGCCUAUGCAGAGCCAGGCGUUUCUUAGUAUGCAUUGAACUCAUGCCAAACUAUUGUUUCACACUAUUAUUGUCUAAAAGACAACGUGUACUAGAAAUGUGAAACAGGAAAUGUCCAUCUGACCUUAUCACAGUACAAGAAAUUUUCCAGAGUCCAUAUGCUGAUGUAAUUAUUUUAAAAAUUAUUUUUGUUUUUUAAAGUGGUAGAUCCUUAGAACAAUUGUCUUUGGCAUCACAGAUAUAGCAUAUGGCGUAUCAUCUCCCUUUUAGAGGAAUAGUGCACUGUAAUAGUGCACUGUAAUUGGUACAGUCUGCUUUUAUGUUAUUUUCUAAUUAGGUUUUAGGAGUUCUUUUUAUUUACUUGGUUUGUUUGUGUGUGUGAAACAUAACAUAUGUAUUUGUAUGUCUUAACCUUUCCUUUGUUUGGAAAGUCCUUAGUUUAUUUUACAUAGAAUGAUUUUCCUUUAUCCGCAAAGCUAUGACCCAUAUAAGCUAUUUCCUUCUGUUCCAGUACUGUGCUUAUGUAAUUUCCUAUAAACAGCAGCAAACAACGUCAGUAUACACUGGCUGUUGGUUCAGUGUUCUUGCAGUACUUACAAUGGACAUUUCUCAGCAUAAUUAAUCUCUUUUCGAAAUUUUGGCCCUAUUUUUAUCAGCACCAAUACAAUACUUUGAAAUGAAUGGAAAUGCUGUAUUCCUUGAAGGGUAAGGAUUAAAGCUGAAACUGGGUCUAGGGAUGAGGUGACGAGGAAAAAAAAACCCUUACAAAUCUGGUGAUUUUUUUCUCCUUUGGAAGUGAAAAACAAUGAGCUGUACUCUGUGAAAGAAAGGAAACGGUGCUGACAAGCUUUUCUCCAACCACUGUGCACCUCUGGUUCAGAACCAGCAGAAGCCAAUUAGUUAUUUAGUUCAUUAGCACAUUUAAGUGUGAGAUUUUAUUUAUAUGACCAUCAAGAACUAGAUAUUCAGGCGUAAUUCAGGUCCUUUUUCAUUUAUAAUGAGUCUCUUUCAUUUGUAAUUUCUCUUUUGAUUUAUAGUCAUUUUAAUUCUUGUUUUAUAUUUGUUUUAAUCCAUGAUCUUCUUUUUAUCCUAUAUCUUAUAUAUCUUUUAGCUGUCCCUUUUUCCAUAUAGUUUUACAGAAUCCCAGAAAUCCUUUUCUUUUGUUAAAAUGCUAUCACUAGUAGUAUUUCUAAUGCCAAUUUAAGCUUUUUUAUUCUAGAAUAAUUUGUGCAUAAUGAAUUGUUAAGUGUAUCUACAGAGAAUGAAUGAUUGAUAUUCAGCCAAGCUUUGCCUAUGUCUUUCCAUGACCAAAAACAAUAAAGUAAAAGGAAAAAAAAUUCAGUUAGUCUGUUGUUUCAUCUGUGUGGCUCUGAACAACCUAUUUGUAUAUUUUGGGAAAUUUUUUUCUCAUUGAAUUACUGUGUAUAUUUAUCAUGUACAUUGAUGGUUGAAUUUUCACUGUAUACCUAUAUGGUAAAAAGUUUGGAAAAAAACUAUUUUUUAAUAGCCAUUUUGGAAACAAGUGUCAGUGAGCAUAUUGUUUUAGGAAAAGGAGGAUGGUGGGGACACUGGAUUGAAAGGAAGUCUUAUGUCAGAGGGCUCUGUGCACAUUUUCCUGAAGUACCUCAGCUAUGCUUAAAUGUAAUCGGUUAUUUUAACCAAUCAUAAUGGUUGCAUUUUGCCUUUUCUCAUAAUAAAUUAUAAAACUGAUAACUUAUAAAUAUGGCAAAACCUUAUUUUUCAGGAUGCCGCUCCCUUCUCUAACAGAUUGAAUUUUGUGUCAAAAGACUUCAAAAGCUACCAGAGUAUUGUGAAAGAAGAAACAGUGUUGUCGAAGGCUGCUGAUAUUGCCUGUUAGCCAGAAGAAAGAACCUGAAUCAUUCAAAGGUUUUCCAUCUGGCAAAGAAGUGUGGUAAAAAUCCUACCCAGAUCUGCAUGUGCUAAGUAUCCAGGUAAGUUGGAGCAACAUAUUAAUGGCAACCAGUGAAGAAAUGAAAGGUAAAACUAUAAUGCAAUGUGUUUCUGUGCCUCAUGUUGAAACGUCAUAUUCAAGGGCUAAAGGGGCUUCAUUUUUCUUCUUCCCCAGCUUGUGUAUUUCAGUUUUGUAUUGAAAUGUUCUUUGGGUUCAUAAAAUAUUUAGGGACUACAUAAAAAAGAAAGACUUUGGAAUCAAAGGCAAGCUUUGGAAUCAAACACAGCUUCUGUUCAAUGAAACUAGGAAAUCACGAUCUAUCAAAGGCCUAGUGUUAAUCGGUACCAAUUUCUCACCACGUUUUGAUUAGAAGAAAAUUGAGCUGCAAACAUUUAAUGAUUUGUCUGACUGAAUGCUGACUUAAAGUUCUGAUCUCUAGUAAUGUCAGGCAUGUUGUCUUGGUAAAUUGUACAGUUCACAUCUCUCUUAUGAGUUCCAGAUGUGUAUAUGCAACUGCCUGCUGGAUUUCUACUUGAAUGUCUUAAUUUCUCAAACUUGGCAUGUGGAAAACUGAACACCUUGAUCUUCCUAAAAAUCUGUUUUUCUGUCAUUUAGUUCGUCAGCUAAAAACUUCGGAGCUAGACAUAUGGACUGCCCAUACUAAGGGAAGAAUCAGAGGAGAAGGGAUACAAGACCCCAGGAGCACACCCAGCACCUUAAUAUGCAUGCUGCGUCUCUCUAAAAUGGUGGAACCUGUUUGUUUACCUGUUCUGGAGAAUGGCUGCCUAUAGCAGACACAGGAGUUGUCUUCACACUGUGCGUUCCGACUUCCACAGGAAUUUGAGUUGUAGCUGCAAUGCAGCUACCAACCGGGGAUACAGUUUCUCAGCCCCGCGCCUUGUACCUACAGCUAAGUGUGGCCAUGUGACCAGUUUUCAUCAAUUAAGUAUGAAUAGAAACAAAGUGCACCACCUUCAUUUGCUCUCUUUCGCCUUGUGCUAGGGGAUACAGAUGACAAUAAGGCCCUAGGUGAUGAGGCAGCCAUAAGAUGCAAAAUGCCUCAGACCUGAGUCACCACGUGGAAGAGAGAAGCUCACUGACCUAGAACAUCCACCCUGGUCUAUAGAUGAACAAGAAAUAAACUUCUAUUGUGUUUGAACAUUGAAGAUUUGGUUCUGUUAUAGCAACUUAUCUCACCCUGACUAAACUGUUACCUGUCGUUCAAGAGAUAGGCAAGUUUAGCCAGGGUGCCCUCCUUCCCUGAAAGUGAUUUUUUCAUAAAUGUAAUCUAUAUGUUAAUUCAUACUCUCCAAAGCAUAUACACAUCUAUUCAACUAUGCUUAUGUGUUCCAUCAACAGAAACCUCAUAUAAAUAAAUAUAUAUAAAGGUUUAAAAAAAAAAA